UACGUAGGGUGCGAGCGUUAAUCGGAAUUACUGGGCGUAAAGCGUGCGCAGGCGGUUCGUUAAGUCAGAUGUGAAAGCCCCGGGCUCAACCUGGGAACUGCAUUUGAAACUGGCGGGCUUGAGUGCGGCAGAGGGGGGUGGAAUUCCGCGUGUAGCAGUGAAAUGCGUAGAGAUGUGGAGGAACACCGAUGGCGAAGGCAGCCCCCUGGGUCAAGAUUGACGCUCAUGCACGAAAGCGUGGGGAGCAAACAGG
RNAcentral lists this ribosomal RNA (253 nucleotides) under uncultured bacterium. Its description in RNAcentral is "partial 16S ribosomal RNA". It matches the Rfam family "Bacterial small subunit ribosomal RNA", at positions 524 to 776 of the family's 1533-position model. The record is from RNAcentral.